RNAcentral lists this ribosomal RNA (445 nucleotides) under uncultured bacterium. RNAcentral's name for it is "partial 16S ribosomal RNA". It matches the Rfam family "Bacterial small subunit ribosomal RNA", at positions 354 to 796 of the family's 1533-position model. The record is from RNAcentral.
GUAGGGAAUAUUGGGCAAUGGAUGCAAGUCUGACCCAGCCAUCCCGCGUGCCGGAAGAAGGCCCUCAGGGUUGUAAACGGCUUUUGACGGUGAAGAAUCGACAGGAUGCGUCCUGUUUUGACGGUAGCCGUUGAAUAAGCACCGGCUAACUCCGUGCCAGCAGCCGCGGUAAUACGGAGGGUGCGAGCGUUGUCCGGAUUUAUUGGGUUUAAAGGGUGCGUAGGCUGGAAGGUCAGUCAGCGGUGAAAAGCUGUCGCUUAACGAUAGUCUUGCCGCAGAUACUUCCUUUCUUGGAUGAGGAGGAGGCCACUGGAACGGAUGGUGUAGCGGUGAAAUGCAUAGAUAUCAUCCAGAACACCGAUUGCGAAGGCAGGUAGCUGUACCUUAAUCGACGCUGAUGCACGAAAGCAUGGGGAGCAAACAGGAUUAGAUACCCGAGUAGUCC